Molecule: long non-coding RNA, 938 nt
Filed under: Nicotiana benthamiana
Lineage: Eukaryota; Viridiplantae; Streptophyta; Magnoliopsida; Solanales; Solanaceae
Description: long non-coding RNA (NBEN_LNC003777)
Source: RNAcentral
CAAGUAUCUACAUGAAUCAAUUGAAAAGGUCUAGAUGUACUAGUAGUGCUUUCAGGAAAGGGAAGCCUAGUUUGCCUGGCCAUAGGACAGGUAGAACAUUGAAAAGGCUGUUUAGAAGCAAAUGGAAAAGGUAAAACAGAAAUGUAUUUCAUAUUCACAAAGGUAUAUGAUCCAACCUUAAAUGCCAAAUGUAAUUCAUGUCUGUGGUAACAGUAUUAUUACACAUGGAACUGUUUACAUUCAAAGGCAAACCAACAGCUUGAUUACUAGAAUAGGCAUGUUUACAAGAAGUAGAAGAAGAAGAGCAUACAGAAACAGAAGAACCACAAUUAGAAGAAGAUGAAGGUGGCACCCAAACAAGCUUGUACUACAGAAACAGAUUUGCAACAAUUAGAAGAAGAAUGUGAAGGUGGCACCCAAGCAAACUUGUACAGACCACCCUCCUCUUUACCAAGAUCCAGAGGCAUCCUCAGAGAAGGGGCCUGUAACAAGUGAAUUAAACAGGAAGUUGCAGUGAACAGUACUAUACAAUGCAACUGUUGCACUAACUUGUGGACAGAAAUCAAGUUAUGUUUGAAAGAAGGAACAAGUAGGACAUUAUGAAGAGUGAUGAAUGAAUUUAAUGCAAAAGAUCAUGUACAUGUUACUUUCACUUUAUAUCUAUUGGGAAUAGUAACAAGAUAGGGUACAGUUAAAGGAAUGAGAUUAAAGAGUAAAUCUUUAUUAAAAGUCAUAUGGUUAGAUGCUCCGGAGUCUAUUAUCCAGGUUGUAGAAUUAAUGUGAGUUAACAUGCAAAAUUUGGAAUCAGAAGCAGGGCUCUCAGUUAGCAUAGUACCAGCAAAAUUGGCAGCAUACAUGGGAUGAGGAGUCUGAGUAGUGGAGUUCCCUAGCUGGGUCUGUUUUAACAAGCUCAUCAAUUGGUCAUACUGUUGUCUGCU